UACGAAGGGGGCUAGCGUUGUUCGGAAUCACUGGGCGUAAAGGGCGCGUAGGCGGCUUUGUAAGUCGGGGGUGAAAGCCUGUGGCUCAACCACAGAAUUGCCUUCGAUACUGCAUGGCUUGAGACCGGAAGAGGUAAGUGGAACUGCGAGUGUAGAGGUGAAAUUCGUAGAUAUUCGCAAGAACACCAGUGGCGAAGGCGGCUCACUGGUCCGGUACUGACGCUGAGGUGCGAAAGCGUGGGGAGCAAACAGG
This 253-nucleotide ribosomal RNA is filed under the name uncultured bacterium. Its description in RNAcentral is "partial 16S ribosomal RNA". It matches the Rfam family "Bacterial small subunit ribosomal RNA", at positions 524 to 776 of the family's 1533-position model. The record is from RNAcentral.